UACGUAGGGGGCAAGCGUUGUCCGGAUUUAUUGGGCGUAAAGAGCGUGUAGGCGGCCUGACAGGUCUGCUGUGAAAACUCGAGGCUCAACCUCGAGAUGUCGGCGGAAACCGUCUGGCUAGAGUCCGGAAGAGGAGAGCGGAAUUCCUGGUGUAGCGGUGAAAUGCGCAGAUAUCAGGAAGAACACCCGUGGCGAAGGCGGCUCUCUGGGACGGUACUGACGCUGAGACGCGAAAGCGUGGGGAGCGAACAGG
This 253-nucleotide ribosomal RNA is filed under the name uncultured bacterium. Its description in RNAcentral is "partial 16S ribosomal RNA". It matches the Rfam family "Bacterial small subunit ribosomal RNA", at positions 524 to 776 of the family's 1533-position model. The record is from RNAcentral.